This 483-nucleotide ribosomal RNA is filed under the name uncultured bacterium. RNAcentral's name for it is "partial 16S ribosomal RNA". It matches the Rfam family "Bacterial small subunit ribosomal RNA", at positions 899 to 1397 of the family's 1533-position model. The record is from RNAcentral.
ACUCAAAUGAAUUGACGGGGACUCGCACAAGCGGUGGAUCAUGUGGCUUAAUUCGUCGAUAAGCGAAGAACCUUACCAGGGCUAGAAACCAAGCUGCAUCCGACCUGAAAGGGACGGAGCCUUCGAGGGUGCUUGGCAGGUGAUGCAUGGUUGUCGUCAGUUCGUGGCUUGAGCUGUUCCCUUCAGUGGGGUAACGAACGCAACCCCCGUUGUCUGUUAAUUUUUCAGGCGAGACUGCCCCCUCACGGGGGAGGAAGGUGGGGAUGACGCCAAAUCAGCAUGUCCCUUGAUGCCCUGGGCUGCACACGUGAUACAAUGGUUGGAAACAGAAGGACGCAAUACGGUAACGUGGAGCAAAUCCCGAAAACCAACCCCAGUACGGAUUGAGGUCUGCAACCGACCUCAUGAAGCCGGAAUCGCUAGUAAUCGUAGGUCAGCAAUACUACGGUGAAUACGUUCUCGAGUCUUGUACACACCGCCCGU